UACGUAGGGUGCGAGCGUUGUUCGGAAUUACUGGGCGUAAAGCAUGCGUAGGCGGUUUGGUAAGUUAGAUGUGUAAUCCCCGGGCUCAACUCGGGAGCUGCAUUUAAGACUGCUAGACUAGAAUAUGGUAGGGGGUAAUGGAAUUCUUAGUGUAGGGGUAAAAUCCGUAGAUAUUAAGAGGAACACCAAUGGCGAAGGCAGCUUGCUGGGCCUUUUCUGACGCUGAGGCACGAAAGCGUGGGGAGCGAACAGG
This 253-nucleotide ribosomal RNA is filed under the name uncultured bacterium. RNAcentral describes it as "partial 16S ribosomal RNA". It matches the Rfam family "Bacterial small subunit ribosomal RNA", at positions 524 to 776 of the family's 1533-position model. The record is from RNAcentral.